RNAcentral lists this small RNA (483 nucleotides) under Fusarium oxysporum. RNAcentral describes it as "eukaryotic LSU rRNA". The stretch from base 150 to 303 matches the Rfam family "5.8S ribosomal RNA". The record is from RNAcentral. Lineage: Eukaryota; Fungi; Ascomycota; Sordariomycetes; Hypocreales; Nectriaceae.
UUGGGAACGGACUCUCUCCCAACCCCUGUGACAUACCCCUUGUUGCCUCGGCGGAUGAGCCCGCUCCCUGUAAAACGGGACGGCCCGCCAGAGGACCCCUAAACUCUGUUUCUAUAUGUAACUUCUGAGUAAAACCAGAAAUAAAUCAAAACUUUCAACAACGGAUCUCUUGGUUCUGGCAUCGAUGAAGAACGCAGCAAAAUGCGUUAAGUAAUGUGAAUUGCAGAAUUCAGUGAAUCAUCGAAUCUUUGUACGCACAUUGCGCCCGCCAGUAUACUGGCGGGCAUGCCUGUUCGAGCGUCAUUUCAACCCUCAAGCACAGCUUGGUUUUGGGACUCGCGUUAUUUCGCGUUCCUCAAUUUGAUUGGCGGUCCCGUCGAGCUUCCAUAGCGUAGUAGUAAAACCCUCGUUACAGGUAAUCGUCGCGGCCACGCCGUUAAAACCCAACUUCUGAAUGUUGACCUCGGAUCAGGUAGGAAUACC